This is an RNA transcript of Cinclus cinclus, 5178 nucleotides long. It is a transcript of the gene named ubiquitin specific peptidase 19, with no coding region annotated. The record is from RefSeq and is a predicted model, not a curated record. The transcript is spliced from 28 exons. Lineage: Eukaryota; Metazoa; Chordata; Aves; Passeriformes; Cinclidae.
CCUGUCUCCGUUGUGGGCCCGCUCGGAACUUCGGCGCGGCACAAACAGACCGGAGCGGCGGGCGGGGCUGCCAUUACUUCCUUGCCAGAGAGUUUGACCACAGAGAGUCGCCAAGAUAGCUGGGCCAGGAAGAAAACGUCGCACCCCUGACCCAGACUCCAUUACCGACCCCGGCGGGCUGUUUGUGUCUUCCAAACGGCUGAAAAUGUCCAGCAGCACAAAUGCCCCUGGCCAGAGGAGAGUGUCUCGGGGCUUGGAUGAUGCCACCAACAAGAAGAAGCAGAAGGAUCGAGCCAAUCAGGAAAGCAAGGAAGUGUCUCGCCCUGAGCUCGAGCAGGCUGAGACUGCCCAGGAGAAGGACUCAGAGGAGGAGCUGCUGCUGGACUGGAAGCAGAAUGCCGAUGAGAUCAUUAUCAAGUUGAACUUGGGCAGUGGAGCUCUGAAGGCGGAGGAUGUACGUGCUGAUUUCACCGACACAGACUGUGUGGUCAAACUACCAGAUGGGCGCCAGUGGAGCUGUCAGUUCUAUGAGGAAAUCGAGGGCUCCUGCAGCAAAAUCCAGUGCAAGAAGGGCAACUUCCUACAGCUUGUGCUUCAGAAGAAGAUCCCACUCCAUAACUGGGCUUCACUUCUGAAGAAAAGGAAAGAUGGAUCCAAAGAACCAGCCAAAGGGACGGCAUGCUGGGAGAACGGGAAGGAGAAGGCUGCUUCUGCAGAGUUGACCCCUGAAGAGCCAAGGGCUGAAGGCACAGAACCACCAAGAUCGCGGCGGGAGCCCUCCAACCCCAAGCGUGCUCCGGGAAGAAGCGAGGCCCUGGGAGGGAAAAGUCCAGGCAGCCCAGGGACACAGAGUGGCCCCAGCGCCAAGCGGGCAGUAUACCUCAAAGUGGCUCCCACUGAAGAGGAGCCAAAUGCAAGAGUCACCGGGAGCACAGAGCCUGGCAAAGGGCACAGUGGGAGGGCUGGUAGCCGCCGCAAUGGCAGAGCCAGCCAGGUAGAUGGACCUGUGGCCCUUGCAGACCUCGCACUGCCACUCGAGAAGGCUGUAGUUUUGGCCAAAGAGACUGUUCCCGUGGAGAUGCCACCUCUUGCGGCUACCACAGAGGUGUUCCCCCACCGUGUUGCCACCUGUGUUGAGAAGAGAGUCCUGCAGCCAGGCAGCCCUAAUGAGGUCUUGCGGAGCCGGGACUGCUUGCCUAUCCUGGGAGAGAGCUCCAAGGCCAUCCCACUGGCCACCCCUCCCAUGGGCAGAGAUGGUGAGAAGAGGGACUGGUCCAAGGACGACGUGGCUCUGGAAGCAGCAGCUGAUGAGCCAGAGCCUUUUGUAAGCCUGACCUUUGUCAAGAAUGACUCAUACGAGAAGGGCAAUGAUCUGGUGGUGGUGCAUGUCUAUGUGAAGGAGAUCCACAAGGAGACAUCCAAAGUGUUGUUCCGGGAACAAGACUUCACACUAGUGUUCCAGACGAGUGAUAUGAACUUCCUUCGUCUUCAUCCUGGCUGUGGGCCCCACACGGUGUUCCGGUGGCAGGUGAAGCUCAGGAACCUUAUUGAACCGGACCAGUGCACAUACAACUUUACGGUGUCUCGCAUUGAUGUCUGCCUGAAGAAACGACAGAGUCAGCGCUGGGGAGGGCUGGAGGCUCCAGCCACACGAGGUGCAGUGGGUGGUGCAAAGGUUGCCAUGCCUACAGGCCCUACCCCCCUGGAUAAGAACCCUCCCGGCAGUAACCAGCACCCCCUCUCCAGCAAGGAAGAGGCUCGAACCAGUGACAAAGAGAAGCCGCGUGUGGAAGAUGGGGCUCUGGAUGGUGUGGCAGCCCGUACGGCCCCAGAGCAUUUGGCAGUGAAGCAAGAGCCACACAUUCCUUCGCCCAAACCAACAUGCAUGGUGCCACCAAUGACACACAGCCCAGUGAGUGCUGAGAGUGUGGAGGAUGAUGAGGAUGAGGAUGAGAAGAAGAAGGUCUGCCUGCCUGGAUUCACGGGGCUGGUGAACCUGGGCAACACCUGCUUCAUGAACAGUGUCAUCCAAUCCCUGUCCAACACCCGGGAGCUGCGUGACUACUUCCAUGAUCGGUCCUUUGAGUCGGAAAUCAACUAUAACAACCCGCUGGGGACGGGUGGGCGCCUGGCCAUCGGUUUUGCUAUGCUGCUCAGAGCACUGUGGAAGGGCACACACCAUGCCUUUCAGCCCUCUAAACUGAAGGCAAUUGUGGCCAGCAAGGCCAGCCAGUUCACUGGCUAUGCCCAGCAUGAUGCUCAGGAAUUCAUGGCCUUCUUGCUUGAUGGCCUGCACGAGGACCUCAACCGCAUCCAGAACAAGCCCUACACAGAGACUGUUGACUCGGAUGGGAGGCCUGAUGAGGUGGUAGCUGAGGAGGCUUGGCAGCGACACAAGAUGAGGAAUGACUCGUUCAUAGUAGACCUCUUCCAGGGCCAGUACAAAUCCAAGCUCGUGUGUCCAGUGUGCUCCAAGGUGUCUAUUACCUUUGAUCCCUUCCUGUACCUCCCUGUACCCCUUCCACAGAAGCAAAAGGUGCUGACUGUCUACUACUUUGCAAAGGAGCCACACAAGAAGCCCAUCAAGUUCCUCGUGAGUAUCAGCAAGGAGAACUCCAGUGCCAUGGAGGUACUUGACUCAGUGGCCCACAGCGUGCGGGUGAAACCAGAGAACCUGCGCCUGGCAGAGGUGGUCAAGAAUCACUUCCACCGCAUGUUCCUGCCAUCUAACUCGCUAGACACAGUCUCACCAACGGACCUGCUGCUUUGCUUUGAGGUGCUGUCCCCAGAACUGGCCAAGGAGCGUGUGGUGGAGCUUCAGGUCCAGCAGCGUCCGCAGGUGCCCAGUGGCCCUGUCGCCAAGUGUGCAGCCUGCCAGAAGAAGCAGCUGCCAGAGGAUGAGAAGCUGAAGCGCUGCACGAGGUGUUACCGAGUCGGUUACUGCAAUGUGGCAUGUCAGAAAACACACUGGCCAGACCACAAGGCUUCAUGCCGUCCUGAGAACAUCGGUUUCCCCUUCCUCAUCAGUGUGCCUGAGUCCCGCCUAACCUAUGCCCGCCUGGCCCAGCUGCUGGAGGGCUAUGCAAGGUACUCAGUCAGCGUGUUCCAGCCUCCAUUCCAGUUGGGCCGGAUGUCACCGGAGCAGGGGCUGCAGCCUCUGCACUCAGACAAGCUGGAGCCCCUUGUCAAGAGUAGCUGUGCAGCAGCCACCUCUGUCCCUGAGCUGGGUGAUGGUGACAGGGUUUCCAGCCUCCCACAGGAGCCCCCGCUCUCGCCAGCUGUGCCUGAGCUGCAGCCAGAGAUGGGAGAUACUACCACUGUCCGGAGCAAGGUCCUGACAGCCAGGAGUUCCCUGCUGAGCUUGGAUUCAGGGUUCUCUGAGCAUAUGGAGUCACAGGGUGAAAGCUGUUGUGAGAAGGAGCCGUCCUAUGAGAGAGCCCUCAAGCCAGAAGCUGCCAUCCCUGGGUACCAACAUACUCCAGACUCCCUGAGUGCCCGCGCCACGCAGUUCUACAUCACUAAGAUUGACGCUGCCAACCGAGAGCAAAAGCUGGAAGAUAAAGGUGACACCCCCCUGGAUCUGACAGAUGGCUGCUCCCUUGCCCUGGUGUGGCAGAACAAUGAGCGCCUCAAGGAAUUCGUGUUGGUAGAAUCCAAGGAGUUGGAGUGUGUGGAGGAUCCAGGCUCAGCCAGCGAAGCAGCUCGGGCUGGUCACUUCACCCUGGAGCAGUGCCUCAAUCUCUUCACGAAGCCUGAAGUCCUGGCCCCAGAGGAAGCAUGGUACUGCCCCAAGUGCAAGCAGCACCGCGAGGCUUCCAAGCAGCUGAUGCUGUGGCGGCUGCCCAACGUCCUCAUCAUCCAGCUCAAGCGCUUCUCCUUCCGCAGCUUUAUUUGGAGGGACAAGAUCAAUGACAUGGUGGACUUUCCUGUCCGGAGCCUGGACCUGAGCAAGUUCUGCAUUGGUCGGAAAGGUGAGCAGCAGCUGCCUAUGUAUGACCUGUAUGCUGUGAUCAACCACUAUGGAGGUAUGAUUGGAGGGCACUACACAGCAUACGCCCGCCUGCCCAACGACAAGAGCAGCCAGCGCAGCGACGUGGGCUGGCGGCUCUUUGAUGACAGCACAGUCACCACCGUGGAUGAGAGCCAGGUGGUGACCAGAUAUGCCUAUGUCCUCUUCUACCGCCGGAGGAACUCUCCUGUGGAGAGGCCCCUGCCAGGGCAUCCCUCAGACCACCGUGCUGAGCACACCCCCUCUGCCGAAGCUGCUGCCAGCCAGGCUUCUCUGAUCUGGCAGGAACUGGAGGCUGAAGAGCAAGAGCUGCAGCUUGAGGCACCCCAAAGGCCUGCAAGAAACUCCUGGAGGCCCUGUGCCCAGAAGUGGAGUCCGGGUACCCCCCAGCACCCAGAUGAAGGCUGCAUCAGAUACUUUGUCCUGGCCACCACGGCCGCAAUUGUGGCUCUCUUCCUGAACGUCUUCUACCCGCUCAUUUACCAGCCCCGCUGGAGAUAGGCCCAGGCACGUGGCCAGCUGCGCGAGCAGGGCCGCCAGGGCACGCGCCGUUCUAGGACGCUAUGAGACGAAGACAUGAGGCACCAGAACAGAAAACGCUGGGAAAGACUCGCCAAGGGAAACAUGGGGCUGACGGCUCCUGCCUGUCUGCUCUGGCAUCUCCUGUGCCAGCUGGCAGGCCUGUGUGGUCAGCCUGCUACCUUGCCGAGGCGCAGCCCAGAACCAGAAGCUUCUUUGCCCUUCCUUGCUGCCCACUGGGAGUGGGGCAGACCUCAAGACUACCUGCUGCUCAAGAAUGGACAUUGCUGCUGCAAUGAGGCUGGGGCCUGAGAGCCCCAUGGGCACAUCAACCAUCUCUGCUUGGCUCCUAAGAAGGAGGUGGAGACCUGCCGGGAGACUGCAGCAAGGGCAGGAUGCCCUGACCCAGGCCCUGGUUCGCCACCUGUCUCAGCUGUGCUGCUGCAGGAGCCUUGAGCUCCCCAAGGUCUGAGGCCUACCUGUGGUCCUUGGCCAGCCCAGUCUGCCCUGCUAGCCUUCUGCUGAGGCUUCUGGUGCCAGGGACUGCCCCCGGUGGCGUUCGGAUCCGGCCUGGCCCCCGAAGGAGCCCCGCCGCUGGCUGCGGAAGGCCUCCCUGAGCGUUUCGCCAGCCCCGCCGAGCGCCCAGCCCC